Meriones unguiculatus (Mongolian gerbil) is the source of this 2182-nucleotide long non-coding RNA. RefSeq lists it as uncharacterized. The transcript is spliced from 2 exons. NCBI's taxonomy places the organism in Eukaryota, Metazoa, Chordata, Mammalia, Rodentia, Muridae. The record is from RefSeq and is a predicted model, not a curated record.
CACAUUGAAAGGUGAAAUUAUAGAAUUUCUGAAACUUGCCUCAAAAUAAUUUGCAGGGAGGUUCAGGGUCAGUUAGUGGGAACACAGAAAAGCUAGAGUGGCCUUUGGGAAAGAUUCAUCAGACUGGGUGAUGGUGUAUGAAAAUCCAUUGUAUGUUCUUUUUACAUUGAUGUGUUUGAACCCAAGUACGUCAUUGGCCCUAUGCACUAAGGAGGCACAUGCUGGAGAUCAAAAGAGUCUGAGAUGAUGCAGGAACCACAACACCAUACCAGCUCUAGAGUGACUUCAGUCUGCUUCCUAACUGAAAACAAACAAAGAAAAAUCCUCUUGUGACAGGGUCUCACUAUGUAAUUAUGUAAUCUAGGCUGGCCUUGAACUUGAAAUCCUCUCACCUCAUCCUUCUGAGGCUUGGUGUUACAGAGCCUGCCAUGAGAAAGCCCACUACCGGGACCAUGCCAAGGAGAAAAAGGAAUGAGUGCAAAAGAAAAGGGCCCAGACAAUGGAAUUUUUUUCUUUUUGACUUAGAGAAGACUAUACUCCCAAAGAGAAGGCAUCAUUGCCACGGCCAGGCAACGCCAUGACAGCCUGGCUGACGAUGCUCUGCGUGAUGGGGGAGGAUGGGAUCCUCUUGUUAGGAUUAGACUCUGAGGUGCUGGAAUCUCAGAUAUAUAACUGUAACAUUUUCAUCACCCUUGACCCAUUAGCUCAUCUAUUCGUUUUCAGCCCAUCUCCCUUAUUCGGCUCUAGACAAAGGCUAAUUGAGUGUAUGUUGCCGUAGGCUCCUCUGGUCUGCCUAGUUUUUAUGAAUGGAGCCAUACAAUAUGCAGAACUUCGUGACUGAUUCCUUUGAACUCUUGGCAAAGAGUCACAUUGUAAUCUGUGUUAAUACUUCCUAUUACGGUCAAAUAGUAUUCUCCUCUAUUGUAUAUACCGUAUUUUGUUUACAGUCAUCUGCAUUUGGAUAAUUUCUGCAUUUGAAUCAUUCGGAAUAAUGCCACUCUGAGCUUUAUGUGCAAAAUUUAUUUUGCACGCAUAUGAUUUUAUUUCUGUUGUGUAUGUACAUUAGUAGAGCUGCUGGGUCCCAUGGCAACUCUCUGUUUAGUUAUUUGGAGAGCUUUGGACUAAAUUCCAAAGUGUUUAUACUUUUCUGCAUUUUUACUACCGGUAUAUGAAGGUUCCAGUUCUCUACAUUGUUCCAAAUCAUUGCCUGACCUUUUUUUGGUUUUUCGAGACAUGAUUUCUCUUUGUAGCCUUAGCUGUCCUGGACUCACUUUGUGGACCAGGCUGCUCUCGAACUCACAGAGAUCUGCCUGCCUCUGCCUCUGGGGAUUACAGGCAUGCCCCACUGUGCCCAGCUGACUUUUUUAUUACAGACAGGUGGUAUUGCAUUGUAGUUUUGUUUUCUAUUCCCUGAAUGAUGAAGGCUUUUGAGCAGAUUUUUGUAUGUCUCUUGGCUACUUGUCUAUCUUUCCUGGGGGAAACAUUUAUCCAGAUCCUUAGCCUAGAUCUUAUCUCUUAAAUAGGAUGCUGCAGUUUUCCUUCCUGCUAGGAAGCAACAUACAUAUUCAACAGUCAGCACUUGAAAAGACCAGUUAUGCAAUUAGGAACUUUGUACAGGGUAUGCUUGUCAGGAUUCCAUCAUUACAACCAAAUCUCAGAGAAGAUUAAUUUAUGAAAAGAAAGAUUUGUUUAAGCCCACAGGUUUGGAGAGUCCACUCGGUGUAUGUCAUAAGCAUUGUAUCAUGGCAAAGGGUGCCAUGCAGCAAAACCAGUCACAUCAUGAGUCAGGGAACAAAUAGAACAGGACUUGGGGCCCACAAUCCCUCUCGCGGGCACACCUUCAGGAACCUUCCACGGAGCCCCACUUAGGAAAGAGUCUGUUACCUCCCAACAGUUCCUCCCUAAAACCAAGACCCGAACACAUGGUCUUCCCAGAGACAUUUGAGAUCUAAACUACAGCUCAGGAUCUUUAAAGCCUUGCUGCAUUUUCCUGUUCAGCUUUUGUUGGUGCUGUUCUUGCUUUUGUGUUUUGGGAGAACGUGUGUUCUUCUGUACUUAUCCAGAUUCUAAGCAUCCCUUAAGAAACUGCCCCAAACCCUUACUGUUCUGGGUUCUUGGUCCUCUGUAAAGUCCUGUAAUAUUUUGGUUUUCCCCAAAUAAAAUAUGUUGCUUGGUGUUUAAA